Molecule: long non-coding RNA, 2324 nt
Organism: Apis mellifera (honey bee)
Lineage: Eukaryota; Metazoa; Arthropoda; Insecta; Hymenoptera; Apidae
Exons: 2
Source: RefSeq, a predicted model, not a curated record
CCUACAAACGUUGCAUCGUUAAAAUCAACGCCUCGUAAAAUUGUUUAUGCUGUUCCAAGACAUCUUUUCGUUAUUUCGAUGGCUCGUGAUUUGAAACGUAGGGACGAUCUAAUUUAGUUUUCCAAGUAAGAAGAAACGAGGAAGGGAAGAGUGGCACGUAAUAAGAAUACGAAUAAACGGCAAAGAUGACGAACGAGUCAACAGGUGUCAGACACACGUGUGCCACGACGAUAUACAACUGUAUAUACGCAACUCCCGAUAAAGGAUCUUUUGUACACCGGUAAGGAAAAAAAAACAUCGUCCAAUUUUCGGACUGUUAACAACUUUCCUCAACUCGAAUCGAAAUGAUGCAACUCGAAACGAACCCGAAUGAGGAGAUGGCUUUACUCGAUCUCCGAUACGUUUAUCCUCGUGCGACUUACGUAAUAACCGCGACGAACGACACGUUCCAACGUAAUGACGACGAUAAAAAUUUUAACGAAGUGUUGAUCGCGCGGCAAAGGGAAACGCUAUUCGUCUCGCGGCGAGAGAGAUGGAGCAACAUCGUGCGUGGCUGAACGAGGCGCCAUUUCCGGCAACGGGUGACUGGCACGCAUUUUUCCUCCAAAUUAUAUAGUAUACGCUCGCGCGGGCUAUUUUAAAAUGUGGCGACGAGAGGAACGUGUUUCCCCGGCGCCACGAGUCGCACUGGGCCAAACGAUAUUCUUAGCACCGUACGCGUGCCAGUAGCGGGGAAGAAGGAUCGAUGUGCACGCGUGUUAUACACGAAACGCUGUGAUUAUUACGAGGUCCACGGGUUCGUGCGACCGUCAAAUCUGACGCGUAAUUAUUUUGUUUUGCGUCCAGCCACCGUGCCAGGUUAUCUCCCGGGAUAUGCGCACGAAGGAUGAAUCGACGACAGACGGAGACGAGAAAUAAUUUACGAAUGUCUCCGACGCUGGGGCAAAAAAGCGGGCAUAUCGUGAGACGAGAGAGAGAGAGAGAGAGAAAAAGAGAGAAAGUAGGAGUUUUUUGUUGGAAUCACGACGCACGAGAUAAGGGGCACGAAGUAAUGCGUAAUUUAUCAAGCUGACACUCGGCGUUGAGUGUUAAUUAUACGCGACGCAUCAAUCCUCCGAGUUUAUUCAGCGUUGCCGGCGGAAGAUACGAGACGCAGUGCGCGAGGUAGUCGUUAAAUUGUUACGCUUCGUCGUCUGGAAAGGAAGACCCCGAGUGUCGUUUCUGUUACGAAGAUAGGUACGGCCUUAAUGUAUUUUCAAUAAUCGAAUUGUGUCCGUUUUCGACACGAGAAUAUAAAAUUGUUCGUUUCUAGAAAGGAAAGGAUUUAGUAAUGAACCAAAAACACGGAAUAUACAUCGAUGCAACGCAGCUGAGAGAACGAAUUGAUUUAAAGUUGUUCCAAAGUAGCCGAGGUUCCGUCGAAAUGCGUUUUCCUUCGGCCGAGGUUCGAAUAUCGAAACGAAGGACGAGGCGAAUGGGAAUCGGACGAUUUCUCGCGCCGAAAGGACACUUCCAGACGAUUUACGAGUCGAUUAGCAUGGUAAUAUGCGAUUUACACCCGUAGAAGCCUUGGCCGGAUGAGUAUUUUUAUUCUUUUCGCUCGGACACGAAACGCGCCGUGACUAAAUUUGCGAAAGAUCCUUGCCAGGACACCGAGAGAGGUGUCCUAAGAGAACGGACUUUCGGACGAGCACGGGAAGAGAUUGCGAAAUUUCGUCAUGGUGCAAGAGAAAAAAAUUGGAAAAAUAAAAAGGUACGAUCCACGUUCGUCUCAUUUUACUUUUACUCGUCGAAAGGAAGGAUACCGUGCAUUGAGAAUAAAAUUGAAAUGAAACGUUUCGUCUACUUCAUGAAGUGAUUCAUGAGAUAAUGAGAAAGCACUCGUCAAGUACUUUCGAUAAUCGAUAAACGAUAUAAGAAAGAAAAAAAAAAGAAGAAGAAGAAAUAAAGAAGAGGAGGGGAAGGCACGAUAAAGAAUCGACUGUGCUAUAGAGCAGACAGCUACAUGGCAAUUACAGGGUCAACGGGCCAAGGAAAACGUCGUCCAGAUACUCUUGAGUCGAGGUCAUCGCCUUUGAGUACUAGCCAAAGAAUUUUCGAUCUCCCACCGUGGCUGAUUCCGCUCCCGACACGGUUCCCUGCCUCGAAACAAGAAAAAACGAGGCAAAUAUUCGCGGCCGACUACUCCCUUUACCUUCGUUUUCCAUCGAGAAACUUUAUCGGCUUUCAACGUCCUGUAAUAUUUACGGCCGAGCUACUAACAAACGUUCGAAAAUUUAACGAAAAAUAAGUAAAAAUUGCAAUUAAAGAAGAACGAGGGGGGG